This is a long non-coding RNA of Rhododendron vialii, 272 nucleotides long. RefSeq lists it as uncharacterized. The transcript is spliced from 3 exons. The record is from RefSeq and is a predicted model, not a curated record. Lineage: Eukaryota; Viridiplantae; Streptophyta; Magnoliopsida; Ericales; Ericaceae.
GGUGGGUUUGCUUCGGUUGGAAAGACAUACAACAACAGUGAAGCAGUCCGUAGAGCUGUUGAUUUUUGCUUUCAACACAAAACGAAGAAGGGGGUUGGGGUGAAAGCCUUGAAUCAUGCCCAUCUAUGAAGUAUCAACAGUUGGAAGGGAAUCGAACGAAUCUGGUACAAACAUCAUGGGCUAUGCUGGGACUUCUUUAUGGCGGACAAGCUCAAAGAGAUACGACACCGCUACAUAAAGUAGCAAGGAUUUUAAUAAACGCGCAAAUGGUC